UGGCCCGCCAGCCGCCGAUCCCGCGCUGCCCCGCGACACACACGCGCGCGUGGCCAUGGAGACCAUGCACCGGGCCGACCGCGCACUUAGCAUCCGCUGCGGAGAAACGAAGGACACGGGACUGAGUCCACACACCCUCCCCACGCAUCCCAGACAAGCACACCCUGGAACCUCCUCUGCUCUGCGUGGCGGGUUAACGCGGCUUCUACGCCGGCAGCGGAGGGACAAGGGCGAUUGAACGGUCUUGCCGUAGCAAGUGUCUUGCCUCAGUAUGUGAAUCUGUCUCAGCUGACAUCACUCUGCCAAUUGUCCUGAGUCUGUAGAAUCUACAAGAAACUGCAGUACAUCACCAGAAAUUUUUUGGCUGAUUUCUCUCUAUGGAAUCCUGACAAAUGGAGCUCAGCUAAGCAAUGUAAGGCAGACCAAUACAUUCCUUUCACGUGCUUUCUUUGGCAGAACAUCCUUUCAUCUGUGUCCACUUCACAUGUUUGCCCCAGCAAAACACCAUCAUCCAGCACAACUGACUUUCCAGAGAACUGAGCUGGGUUGACAGGCUGGUACCACCAUGCUCGGAACCACUAUGCUCUGCCUAGACUUACCACUUCUUUCAUUUGUACACUUACUUUGUGUACAAUUAAGGUAUGUUUAUAUAUGUUCGUUUUGCUAAGCCACU
This is a long non-coding RNA of Mastomys coucha (southern multimammate mouse), 673 nucleotides long. RefSeq lists it as uncharacterized. The transcript has 3 exons. The record is from RefSeq and is a predicted model, not a curated record. NCBI's taxonomy places the organism in Eukaryota, Metazoa, Chordata, Mammalia, Rodentia, Muridae.